This 115-nucleotide ribosomal RNA is filed under the name Leminorella grimontii. RNAcentral also lists the same sequence under 1 other name. The record is from RNAcentral. Lineage: Bacteria; Pseudomonadati; Pseudomonadota; Gammaproteobacteria; Enterobacterales; Budviciaceae.
UGGCGGCGAUAGCGCGGUGGUCCCACCUGACCCCAUGCCGAACUCAGAAGUGAAACGCCGUAGCGCCGAUGGUAGUGUGGGGCUUCCCCAUGCGAGAGUAGGGAACUGCCAGGCU